CAAGAGGAAGGGCCUUGUGGGAUACACCUUGCAGAAUAGGGAUCGGUGUGCCCCGCUGCGAGGGGCCCCCCAUGGGGGCUGUGGCCCCUCCGCAGGCAGGACAUCCCAACCCCUGGCUGGGACUGAACCACCCAGAGCGGAGCGGCUCCCUUUUCAGCCUUGUGAGUCACCUGGCAGGCCCCAGCUGGGCUGGCUGUCCGUGUCCCUCAGCCUGGCUGGUGAUUCCUUGCAGGCCAGAAAUGAAGAGUCCCUGUAGGUUUUGGUUUUGUUUGUUUUAUUUUGUUCUUUCACCUUUUUUCCUCAUUAAAAAAAAAAAGUCCCUGUGGAGUGUACUUAUUUAUUUUUUGAUUAAAGGGAAGUAAAAUGCAUUCUGUUUUGUGUGUUUCCUAAAGAAUCAGUGAUUCCCCUAGGGGACUCCCUGCUUUGGCUGCAGAACAACCUGGAAUGGCUGUUCCCAUUGAAACCAAAGGAAGAGGGAAGGCCCUGAUCCUAAGCUCGGCAGCCCCGCCCAGCCUCAGCCAGCAGAGCCUUCGUUUUGUCGUCUGAAAACUGGGGGAAGAGUAUCUCCCUCAAGGGAGGGCCAG
This 584-nucleotide long non-coding RNA is filed under the name Homo sapiens (human). RNAcentral describes it as "non-protein coding lnc-GTF3C1-2:2". Lineage: Eukaryota; Metazoa; Chordata; Mammalia; Primates; Hominidae. The record is from RNAcentral.